RNAcentral lists this ribosomal RNA (253 nucleotides) under uncultured bacterium. RNAcentral's name for it is "partial 16S ribosomal RNA". It matches the Rfam family "Bacterial small subunit ribosomal RNA", at positions 524 to 776 of the family's 1533-position model. The record is from RNAcentral.
UACAGAGGGCCCAAGCGUUGUUCGGAUUCACUGGGCGUAAAGGGUGCGUAGGUGGCCGGUUAAGUCUGACGUGAAAUCUCCGAGCCUAACUCGGAAACUGCGUCGGAAACUAUCCGGCUCGAGGGUUGGAGGGGGGACUGGAAUACUUGGUGUAGCAGUGAAAUGCGUAGAUAUCAAGUGGAACACCAGUGGCGAAGGCGAGUCCCUGGACAACUCCUGACACUGAGGCACGAAAGCUAGGGGAGCAAACAGG